UAGUAGUCAUACGCUCGUCUCAAAGAUUAAGCCAUGCAUGUGUAAGUGUAAAUAUCAAAGUUUGGAACUGCGAAUGGCUCAUUAUAUCAGUUAUAGUUUAUUUGGUGAAGUGUACUACUUGGAUAACCGUAGUAAUUUUAGGGCUAAUACAUGAGAAAGUCCUCUGGUGAGGUGUGUUUAUUAGAAUGAAAACCAUAUGCUUCGGCAUGAUAGUGAGUAAUAGUAACCUAUCGUAUCGCAUGCUUAAUGUAGCGAUGAGUCUUUCAAGUUUCUGCCCUAUCAGCUUUCGAUGGUAGUAUAUGGGCCUACCAUGGCAGUAACGGGUAACGAAUAA
Molecule: ribosomal RNA, 334 nt
Filed under: Blastocystis sp. subtype 1
Lineage: Eukaryota; Bigyra; Opalinata; Blastocystidae
Description: SSU rRNA
Rfam family: Eukaryotic small subunit ribosomal RNA
Source: RNAcentral